Corylus avellana is the source of this 2325-nucleotide non-coding RNA. The record is from RefSeq and is a predicted model, not a curated record. Lineage: Eukaryota; Viridiplantae; Streptophyta; Magnoliopsida; Fagales; Betulaceae.
AGUUGUUCGGUUUCGCUGUGCCUCGAGUAGGAGUUUUUGUUUUUGUCACGCCAAGAAUUCGUACCCAGCUAAGCAGGAUAUUUGAUGCUGGAAACUACUUCUGGGGCUUGUUUUUGCUCGAAUCAGCCUCCAUUCUCAUACAUUUGGUGCAGAGGUUGCCGCAUCAUGCUUGUACAUGGUACUUCUUCCCAUAAUACCAGGACCAUUGGAAAUGGAGCUUUGUUUGUGCUUCCAUCGAAGCUUCCUUUAAGUUGCGAUUGUCUCAGCGUUUGUCGAGAAAUAACAAGGAAAGUAAGGUACGUAACGUAGCGGAAGGUGCAUGGGAGAAGAGAAAAACAAGCCUUUUUCUUUCUUGCAAUUCUUGAAUUCACAGGGAGAGGAAAAAAAAAAUAAAAAUCCGCAGAUAAUGAAUUCUCAUUGGAUUCAGGCUUACAUGCGUGGUUGGCCAAAUUGGGCGAUCGAUCGACUAGUAGUCUAUGCCCUUCUGUGACCAGAAAGACUGGUCUUAGUCUGCCAUUAGAGUUUCAGAAAUCAUGGAGUACUAUGAAUUCAAGGGUUUUUAGUUGGCCCGCGCGUCCACCCUUUCAAAGGAGCGCAGCUAUAUAUAUGAUGAGUUACUUGGGUACCAUUUUGUGGAACACAUGGCAGCUGUGGUUUCUUCAAGACUAGUCUUCCUGUCUGCCAUAUGCACUCUCAUUGCUCCAGCCAUUGCCAACCGGCCAACGUUCCUUCGCCAAAACUGUUCUGAUAAGCAGGGUAACUACACCAGUGACAGUAGCUACAUGGGAAACCUGAAUCUCGUCCUCUCCAUCCUCUCCAACAACACUGAAAUUGAGUUCGGGUUCUAUUUUUCGUAUUAUGGGAAAAACCAUGACAAAGUCUAUGCAAUUGGACUUUGUAGAGGAGAUUUUAAGCCUGAUGUUUGCCCUAAUUGCCUCGAUGUCGCCAAAGAUUAUCUCACGCUACAGUGUUGUCUCAGUCAGAAGGAAGCAAUAGUAUGGUAUGACGAGUGCAUGUUAUGCUACUCAAGCCGCAACAUAUUUAGGACCAUGGAAGAUAUUCCUGAAUUUCCUUUGUGGAACGACGUACGAUAGCGUAUCAGUCGACGUGAAGGUUGAGUUUAAUAAUCUCCUCUGGAAUUUGUAGGGAAGGCUAAGAGGUCGAGCUGCAGCAGGUGGUUCUCGCUGUAAGUUUGCAAUAGGAAAUGCACCAGGACAAAACUUCCAAGCAAUAAAUGCACUUGUGCAGUGCACACCUGAAUUGUCCGAGCAAGAUUGCAAUUAUUGCUUGAGUUUGGCUUUUGAAAAUUACUGGAAUUGUUGUGCUGGGAGAAUAGGUGGGAGAACUCUUAGACCCAGCCGUAAUUUUAGGUAUGAGAUCUACGGCUUCUACCACCCUGCUGCUGAUGCGCCAUCACCAUCACCAUCACCAUCGCCACCGCCUCUGCCUCCGCCUCCGCCUCCGCCAUCGCCACCGCCUCCACCAGGUGAGAAGAGUGUGGAAAAUCUCCAACUGCGAUCAUUAUAGUUGUGCCCUUUGUUGCUCUUGUGGUACUAGUCAUCUCCAUCUGCAUCUAUUUAAGAGUUGGGAGGCCAUGGGAGAAACAAGGAAAUGAAGUUGUGGAUGAGAUUAGAAAUGCGGAAUCCUUGCAAUUUGACUUCGGCACUAUUAGAGUUGCAACAGAAAACUUUUCUGAUGCGAAUAAGCUUGGACAAGGUGGAUUUGGUACUGUUUAUAAGGUGAUGUGAUUUUAUUUUUGGAAAUAUAUCAAGUAUUUGUGAUGACUUGUAUAUAUAUAUAAAAUUUGAGUGUUAAUUAUGCUUUGUUUUAAAAUAUUUUUUCAAUGUAAACUCUCAAAUGGACAAGUUAUUGCUGCUAAAAGGUUAUCAAUGAACUCUAAACAAGGAGAUAUAGAAUUUAAAAAUGAAGCCUUGUUGCUAUCCAAGCUUCAACACCGAAAUUUAGUUAAGCUUUUAGGCUUUUGCUUGGAAGGAAAUGAAAGGAUUUAUGAAUUUGUGCCCAAUACAAGCCUUGAUUACUUCAUAUUUGGUAUGGCUACACUUUUAUCUUAAUUUUAUAUCUAUAUAUUGCAUUGGUAGUAAUUUAUUUUGGGUUUCAGGCCUAGUGAGGAUAAGACUUCGGCACAUUUUACUUCAAUAGUCAUUAACUUGGUUAAAUGCAUAGAUCCAAUCAAAUGUGCAAAUCUGGAUUGAGAGGAGCGGUACAAAAUUAUAAGAGGCAUUGCUCGAGGGCUUGUUUAUCUUCAUGAAGAUUCUUGACUUCGUAUUAUUUAGCGUGAUUUCAAAGCUAAUAACAUUCUAUUAG